GGGAGUGACGUCAAAUCAUCAUGCCCCUUAUGUUCUGGGCUACACACGUGCUACAAUGGCCGGUACAGACGGAGGCGAAGCCGCGAGGCGGAGCAAAUCCGAAAAAGCCGGUCUCAGUUCGGAUUGCAGGCUGCAAUUCGCCUGCAUGAAGUCGGAAUCGCUAGUAAUCGCAGGUCAGCAUACUGCGGUCGAAUACGUUCCCGGGCCUU
RNAcentral lists this ribosomal RNA (209 nucleotides) under uncultured Pelotomaculum sp. RNAcentral describes it as "partial 16S ribosomal RNA". It matches the Rfam family "Bacterial small subunit ribosomal RNA", at positions 1175 to 1382 of the family's 1533-position model. Lineage: Bacteria; Bacillati; Bacillota; Clostridia; Eubacteriales; Desulfotomaculaceae. The record is from RNAcentral.